Desulfotignum phosphitoxidans DSM 13687 is the source of this 194-nucleotide non-coding RNA. Lineage: Bacteria; Pseudomonadati; Thermodesulfobacteriota; Desulfobacteria; Desulfobacterales; Desulfobacteraceae. The record is from Rfam.
UCCAGGUGCUUAUGAAGAGCCGGAAUACGGUUCUUUAAGCUGAAAAGGGAAUCCUGUUAAAAUCAGGAACGGGCCCGCCGCUGUAACCGGGGACGAAAGCCGCAGUUUGUCACUGUUUAUUGAUUGAAUAUAAACGGGAAGGCGCGGCAAUUAGAAUGAUCCGGAAGUCAGAAGACCUGCCUGGAAGGAAUUUU